AGUGAACGCUGGCGGUAGGCCUAACACAUGCAAGUCGAACGGCAGCACAGUAAGAGCUUGCUCUUACGGGUGGCGAGUGGCGGACGGGUGAGGAAUACAUCGGAAUCUACUUUUUCGUGGGGGAUAACGUAGGGAAACUUACGCUAAUACCGCAUACGACCUACGGGUGAAAGCAGGGGAUCUUCGGACCUUGCGCGAUUGAAUGAGCCGAUGUCGGAUUAGCUAGUUGGCGGGGUAAAGGCCCACCAAGGCGACGAUCCGUAGCUGGUCUGAGAGGAUGAUCAGCCACAAUGGAACUGAGACCAGGUCCAGACUCCUAAGGGAGGGAGCAGUGGGGAAUAUUGGAACAUGGGGGGAAGCCUGAUCCAGCCCUACCGCGUGGGUGAAGAAGGCCUUCGGGUUGUAAAACCCUUUUGUUGGGAAAGAAAAGCAGCAGGUUAAUACCCCGCUGUUCUGACGGUACCCAAAGAAUAAGCACCGGCUAACUUCGUG
Molecule: ribosomal RNA, 492 nt
Filed under: uncultured bacterium
Lineage: Bacteria
Description: partial 16S ribosomal RNA
Rfam family: Bacterial small subunit ribosomal RNA
Source: RNAcentral